Molecule: long non-coding RNA, 3605 nt
Filed under: Aquilegia coerulea
Lineage: Eukaryota; Viridiplantae; Streptophyta; Magnoliopsida; Ranunculales; Ranunculaceae
Description: long non-coding RNA (ACOE_LNC000850)
Source: RNAcentral
CCAAACUCUAUUUUUGCUUCCCUAAAUGCCCCUCAUUCUUUUAUUAGCUAAAACCUUCAAUUUAUUUAUUUUAUUUUUUUUUUACCUUAUCUUCUACAUUGUCACCAUCUUAACUCUUUAGAUCUAAGAAAACUUUGUUGAAAUUACUGUGGAGUAAUCCUUCAUCUUCUUCACAUCUCCUUCUUCUUCACAUCUUUUCAACUUAGAAAAAAUAAACUUAAAUCAAAAUAACAACAUCUCCUUCUUCUUUUUCUUUUUCUUUUUCUUCUUCUUCUACUUCUUCACAUCUCUUCUAAAUGAAUUGAAGCAACAACAUCUUCUUCAAGACUUCUUCUUCUUCUUAGAUCUACAAUUAGUCAUUUAAAAUCGAAACAAUCGCAAUAAUGAACAAUGGGGAAGGUCACUCUACAAGUUUAUGAACAAUGGGGAAAGUAAAUCUUUGCAUUAUGUGUCUUCUAUUUCUUAGAUCUAAAUUUUCUUUUUUGAUUUGUUCCAAACUGGGGUGCGCCAUUGCUAAAACCCCUAUGCUCAGAGUCCAGACUAAUACAAAAGGAACCUUUCCGUCGAAUGUAAUCUAAACACUUUGCAGGUAUCAGAAUACAUAAUCUAGGACUUGAAGCAGACAACGUAGUCAGCAGUCAGCACUAUAAGCUUGCAUAUACCGUUUCAUUCACAGUAAUCCAAAGCUCGUGCUUGUUCUCCCCGAGCUGAGCAAACAUUUCCCAAGAUUAAAAAUUACACUAGACUAGAGUACUACUGGCAGUGAGCUCAGUUUGGAUUGGACAUCGAACAUAAGUGAUUCACAAAUCCGGCCCAAAACAUAUCCAUCAAUAUUGUGGCCCAUCCAUCAACAUUAUUGGAUCCUUACCUUUAACAAUCUUUAGAUCCGUCAAGAAGCCCAAAACUGUUGCAGUCUUACAAACAAGCUUUAAUGGGGAGAACUCGAAGAAGACGAUGUAGAAGAUUUCAAUUUCUUAGUCCCACAUCGACUUACACUUGGACCAGAUGAGAAUGGCUUCAAGUCAAGAUUCAAGAAGCUCAUUUGAAUGCAAGUUCAAACUGGUAUGUUCUCUCUCCAGUCUCCAAGGGUUUUAUGCGUAUGAUUCCUUCGGAGUGUAGAACUUAAUUAAUCUUACUUAUUAUUGUUUAAACGACUAGAGUAGUUAUUGUUAAUAUAAUCAGUUAAUUUUGCAUUUAAGUUUCAAGUAUUUUGGUGUUUGGUAUUGCACUUGAGCUUGCAGUGGAUAGUUUUGUUAUCGUCUUAUGGUUAUUGCUUGAUUGAUCUUUAUCACUUUUUUAUUUAUUGAGGAAAUGCGACAUGUUAUCUUACCACGCAAAAUGCGAUAGGGAUUUUGUAUCAUUGUUCUAUGGUUACUUGACAACUGAGAUACCAAUAACUAACUAACGAGAUCUCUCGAAGUUAAAAAAGAAAGGAUUCUGGGAUGCAGUGGAACUAAUGUAUCAAGCACUAGGAAUAAAUUCAUAAAACAAAUAAAACUGCAAAGUAAUGACAUGACACACUGAAAUUCUGAAAAUUUGAUCCUAAACUAAACUAUGAUAUGAUGUGAUCCAAGGAAGAACCACCUUAUUGAGUAUUUUAGUAUCUACACAUACAACGCAAACUGUGUUUUCUAAAGGUUGGGCUGCACCCUCACUCCGAAACGCUGCAAACAUCAAAAGCAGCAUCUUCUUGUCCUCUGCGUCAAAACUUGGCCUCUGCCUCCCCAGAUGAUUCUAUGCUCAUGAUAUAUUCAAUUUCUUCUGCUAUUUCUUUCAUUGAAGGUCGGUUCUGUCUUUUCUCUUCUAAACAACUCAGUGCUAGGAAUGCCAGUGCCUUUAUAGUAUCUAAUUCCACCUUGCUGGCUCCAUCCAGGAGCAUAGGGUCAAUUGUUUGCAUCAGCAACUCUUCUUCUGUUUUCCUCUGAACAUAGACUACCAAGUUUACAUCAUCUGUUCCUCUAGUGAAAUCUAUGGCCUUCUGUGAAGUCAACAGCUCCAGUAGAACAACUCCAAAGCUGUAGACAUCACUUUUAUCUGUUAACUGGUAGUUUCUAUAAUAUUCAGGAUCUAGAUAACCCAACGUUCCCUGGGCACAGGUGGAUAUAUGGCUUAGAUCAGUUUCGGCAAGGCGAGAAAGCCCAAAGUCCGCGACCUUGGCAUUGAGCUUUUCAUCGAGGAGGAUAUUGCUUGAUUUCACAUCACGAUGGUAUAUUGGAGGAACUGCAGAUGAGUGAAGGUAAGCAAGACCUUCAGCAGUUUGAUGGGCAAUGCGUAGGCGACGGUGCCAUGUCAGUGAACUCCUCAUUCCUGGGUGGAGUGCAUGGAGAUGUUCAGAAAGUGUUCCGUUCGGUAUGUAUUCAUAGACCAUUAGUGGUUGCUGAAGUUCUACACAGCAGCCAAGAAGGCGAGCAAGGCAACGAUGGUUCACCUGGCAAAGUAUUCUAACCUCAUUAAGGAUCUGAUCAGUACCCUUUGCAUUUCCAAGCUUAGCACACUUAACGGCUAUUAAAGUACCAUCUUCCAAUAUGCCCUUAAAGACCUCACCAUAUCCCCCAGCGCCAAGAAGGCGAUCUUUAGAGAAAUGGUUAGUUGCUUUCUUCAUUUCCUUUCCUGUGAAAACUUUAGCAGACUUGCCUCCACUGUUGGAAUUUAGGAUCUCUUCUCGCUCUCUUGUCAACCGUUCUUGAGCUUCUAUGAUCUUUCUGUGUCGCUUGUAGACAAGAAAUCCCACAAUUGCAGCAAGUAGGAUUGCAGCCAAACCAGCUGUUAAACCUGUCAAAUUAGCGCUUUAGUCAGAAAACUUGAAAUCAUGGGAAAAUGGGAAACCCUUGCUCUGAGCAUCAAUCUCAAACUUACCUGCUAUGAGUGGGGUUCGGUUUGUCGAGUUAUCACAGCCUUCAGGAUUUUGACAGGUCACAACUGCACAACACAAGUAUGAAUUAGAAUUCUGUUCAACAUUUUUUUUAAUCAAUCUGCAUCAUCAAAAGUAAGUAGAUACAUUUAGCAUAAGCGUCACAGCAUACUUACUGAAGGCACAAUUGCCACGGAUUGGAUCCCACCGAUAUCCACUUUCACAUAAACAUCUGCUUUGCCCGAAAACUAACGGGUCUCGAGAGCAAUUCGAGUUUGAUGUGGAUGCACAAUCACUCUGCAAUCGACAUAAUGGUUCCCGCGGUGACACCCAUUGUAUCUCCACCCCCGACUCAGGCCACCUACUAACUGGCAGAGAAUAAUCUAAAUUGACAAAGCUCCGAUACGCUUUACACCCACUUUCCCUUACACGGAUUUGAUACGCAGUAGAAGACCCACCUGCCCCAAAUGUACAACAAAGUGGAGCGUUCUGGCAAACCGAACCCUCUACUGUAUUAUUGAUGUAAGUGUGGCAAAGACUUGUUGAAGUACAAUUUAAAGGUGAUCUAAGUAAACUAUCAGAACAGUUCAAAUACAUAAUAGUGUUACUACUUGUAACAUUAAAUGGUAGACUACUAUUGAGCUGGAUUCCUUCAGAUCUAAAAUCGGAUGUAAUACAGGUAUUCCCUACAAAGCUAGCAGGUUGGAUUACAAACCGUUGGGUCUCUGAGUUGAUGGAUGAUAUUGCGUACGAG